GCUGAGGCGUGAUGACGAGGCACUACGGUGCUGAAGCAACAAAUGCCCUGCUUCCAGGAAAAGCCUCUAAGCAUCAGGUAACAUCAAAUCGUACCCCAAACCGACACAGGUGGUCAGGUAGAGAAUACCAAGGCGCUUGAGAGAACUCGGGUGAAGGAACUAGGCAAAAUGGUGCCGUAACUUCGGGAGAAGGCACGCUGAUAUGUAGGUGAAGUCCCUCGCGGAUGGAGCUGAAAUCAGUCGAAGAUACCAGCUGGCUGCAACUGUUUAUUAAAAACACAGCACUGUGCAAACACGAAAGUGGACGUAUACGGUGUGACGCCUGCCCGGUGCCGGAAGGUUAAUUGAUGGGGUCAGCGCAAGCGAAGCUCUUGAUCGAAGCCCCGGUAAACGGCGGCCGUAACUAUAACGGUCCUAAGGUAGCGAAAUUCCUUGUCGGGUAAGUUCCGACCUGCACGAAUGGCGUAAUGAUGGCCAGGCUGUCUCCACCCGAGACUCAGUGAAAUUGAACUCGCUGUGAAGAUGCAGUGUACCCGCGGCAAGACGGAAAGACCCCGUGAACCUUUACUAUAGCUUGACACUGAACAUUGAGCCUUGAUGUGUAGGAUAGGUGGGAGGCUUUGAAGUGUGGACGCCAGUCUGCAUGGAGCCGACCUUGAAAUACCACCCUUUAAUGUUUGAUGUUCUAACGUGGACCCGUAAUCCGGGUUGCGGACAGUGUCUGGUGGGUAGUUUGACUGGGGCGGUCUCCUCCUAAAGAGUAACGGAGGAGCACGAAGGUUGGCUAAUCCUGGUCGGACAUCAGGAGGUUAGUGCAAUGGCAUAAGCCAGCUUGACUGCGAGCGUGACGGCGCGAGCAGGUGCGAAAGCAGGUCAUAGUGAUCCGGUGGUUCUGAAUGGAAGGGCCAUCGCUCAACGGAUAAAAGGUACUCCGGGGAUAACAGGCUGAUACCGCCCAAGAGUUCAUAUCGACGGCGGUGUUUGGCACCUCGAUGUCGGCUCAUCACAUCCUGGGGCUGAAGUAGGUCCCAAGGGUAUGGCUGUUCGCCAUUUAAAGUGGUACGCGAGCUGGGUUUAGAACGUCGUGAGACAGUUCGGUCCCUAUCUGCCGUGGGCGCUGGAGAACUGAGGGGGGCUGCUCCUAGUACGAGAGGACCGGAGUGGACGCAUCACUGGUGUUCGGGUUGUCAUGCCAAUGGCACUGCCCGGUAGCUAAAUGCGGAAGAGAUAAGUGCUGAAAGCAUCUAAGCACGAAACUUGCCCCGAGAUGAGUUCUCCCUGACUCCUUGAGAGUCCUGAAGGAACGUU
RNAcentral lists this ribosomal RNA (1308 nucleotides) under Escherichia coli. RNAcentral's name for it is "partial 23S ribosomal RNA". It matches the Rfam family "Bacterial large subunit ribosomal RNA", at positions 1555 to 2839 of the family's 2925-position model. Lineage: Bacteria; Pseudomonadati; Pseudomonadota; Gammaproteobacteria; Enterobacterales; Enterobacteriaceae. The record is from RNAcentral.